Molecule: non-coding RNA, 213 nt
Organism: Nicotiana tabacum (common tobacco)
Lineage: Eukaryota; Viridiplantae; Streptophyta; Magnoliopsida; Solanales; Solanaceae
Source: RefSeq, a predicted model, not a curated record
AUGAAGACAGCAUCCACCAGUUGAGUUCCAUAAGCAGCCCUCGGAUUUGUCCAGCUUCUUGUUACCGCAAGCAAAAACCCUAAGUGUCCUUUACUCAAUUCACUGCCAUGGAUAAUAUUGAAGAGGACAUCAAGGCACUGCAGCUUGAUUCAUCCGAAGAUAGCGUGAUGGUUAACGUGGAAGACGGAAAACCCGAGGAAGCUAUAAAACCUG